This 253-nucleotide ribosomal RNA is filed under the name uncultured bacterium. RNAcentral's name for it is "partial 16S ribosomal RNA". It matches the Rfam family "Bacterial small subunit ribosomal RNA", at positions 524 to 776 of the family's 1533-position model. The record is from RNAcentral.
UACGAAGGGGGCUAGCGUUGUUCGGAAUUACUGGGCGUAAAGCGCACGUAGGCGGACUAUUAAGUCAGGGGUGAAAUCCCGGGGCUCAACCCCGGAACUGCCUUUGAUACUGGUAGUCUCGAGUCCGGAAGAGGUGAGUGGGAUUCCGAGUGUAGAGGUGAAAUUCGUAGAUAUUCGGAGGAACACCAGUGGCGAAGGCGGCUCACUGGUCCGGUACUGACGCUGAGGUGCGAAAGCGUGGGGAGCAAACAGG